CAUUAUUUUGCAGGUGAAGUACCAGUUCUAAAUGUCAGUUAUAAGCCACAGAAAAUUAGUCCCAAAUCAACUGUGAGUUAUUAUUUUUUAUAUGGUUACUAAAGAAAAUUUUGUAUAUAUGCCUAUAGCUUUCAUCUUUUACUAUAUUAAAAUUUUUCUCCAAAUUAGAUUCUAUACAGUUUUAUUGAUAGUUGCAAACAAAGGUAUUAAGAGUCCAAUCCUUGAUUCAUAUCCACUGCUAAGAAAGUGCUUUAAAGAUGUUUGUCAUCUUUGGCCGGCAGUGAGCAGUAGCUCACGCCUGUAAUCCCAACACUUCAGGAGGCCUAGGCCAGCGGAUCAUGAGGUCAGGAGAUCAAGACCAUCCUGGCUAACAUGGUGAAACCUUGUCUCUACUAAAAAUACAAAAAACUAGCCGAGCGUGGUGGCGGGCACCUGUAGUCCCAGCUACUCAGGAGGCUGAGGCAGGAGAAUGGCGUGAACCUGGGAGGCGGAGCUUGCAGUGAGUGGAGACUGCACCACUACACUCCAGCCUGGGUGACAGAGCAAGACUCUGUCUCAAAAAAAAAAGAGAUGUUUGUCAUUUUUUUGCUAAAUAAAUAAUUAAAAACCUAAUGUAUUUUGUGCCACAAUUGACAACAGCAAGAAGGUGAAAAGGCUAUUCCCACAAGAUGGGAGAAACAUUUGCACAUCAUAUAUCCAAUAAAGGACUUGUAUCCAGCAUAUAUAAAGAACUCUUACAAUUAAAAAUGAGCAAAUGUCUUUUAGUUAUUCAGCCAUAAAAAGAAAUGAAAUAUUAACAAAUGCCACAGUCCUUGAAACCAUUAUGUUAAAGUUAACCUCCUUUGAUUUCUACAGGUGUUGUAAUGAACGCCUCAGUACCUCAACAUUCAAUAAAUGUUUUAUCUGCUUGGCUUAGCUUACCAUAAAAGUUUUGUCGUUGAUGCUCUCUGUAAGCUUAGCUUUAAAUUCUAAAAUUCAGCCUUAUCCUGAAACAGCAAGGAAAAGUCAUCUUAGGAUUCAUCCCUAGCACAUUAUCAUGCAUUUUGUGUUCUCUUACUGAUUGCCUAAGGUUGCUUGAUACCCACUUUGACCUUUGGAAUUUCUACUCUCAAAUGAUUUUUCCCCUGAAACAUUCAUUAUUUGCUUAUUACUUUCUAAUUUUAAAAUUAUUAUUGCGGGGCUGUGGAGUGGGAAAAAAAAAAAAAGAUUGUUGCAGGCUGGGGACAGUAGCUCACGCAUGUAAUCCCAGCACUUUGGGAGGCCAAGGCAGGAGGGUCACUUGAGCCCAAGAGUUUAAGACCAGCCUGACCAACAUAGAUCCCGCCUCCACAAAAACUUAAAAAUUGGUUCAGCAUGGUGGUGCAUGCCUGUAGUUCCAGCUCCUCUAGAGGCUGAAGUGGGAGGAUCACUUGAGCCUGGGAGGUUGAUGCUGCAGUGAGCCCUGAUCAUGCCAUUGCACACCUGGGCAAUGGAGCAAGAUCCUGUCUCAAAAGAAAAAAAAAUUCCUUUUUACUUGUUGGACAUGAUGGGUUUUGAAUAGAAAAUCUCAAAACAUGUCAUAGAUGGUGGAUACACAUUGAUAUCUGUUGGUGGCAAAUUGAUAUACUUUUAUUCUGAAGCUUAACUUUGUCAAGAUUCGUAAAUAGAAGAGUUCUGUAGUGAAAUUUUAUCAUUUAAAUACUUUUUUAUAUUAAAAACAGGGAAGUGUUCGCCAGUUACUACAUGAAAAGAUAAGAGAUGCUUAUACUCAUCCACAAUUUGUGACCGAUGUAAUGAAGCCUCUGCAAAUUGAAAACAUCAUUGAUCAAGAGGUGCAGACAUUAUCUGGUGGUGAACUACAGCGAGUAGCUUUAGCCCUUUGUUUGGGCAAACCUGCUGAUGUCUAUUUAAUUGAUGAACCAUCUGCAUAUUUGGAUUCUGAACAAAGACUGAUGGCAGCUCGAGUUGUCAAACGGUAAAUAUCUUGCUCAUAGCUGUAUUUUGAUUAUACUGUCCUACAAGUGUGCUUAAUAUAACAGUCGAAUGUUUUAUGAUAUAAAGCUAUAAGAUUUCAAAAUCACUGUGUUUUAGUUUCAUACUCCAUGCAAAAAAGACAGCCUUUGUUGUGGAACAUGACUUCAUCAUGGCCACCUAUCUAGCGGAUCGCGUCAUCGUUUUUGAUGGUGUUCCAUCUAAGAACACAGUUGCAAACAGGUAAAAUUACUUUUUAAUAUGUUCAAAGUAAUUCAUUUUAAAUUUUCCAGUAAAUAGUAAAGUCACUCACUUUAAUUUUUAAAAAAUGAAAGCUAGAAAUUCUAGACUUGAUUCUGUGACUCCUGAGAUCAUUGGUAUUGGGGACUGGAUGGGACCAUGUGAAAGAGUAGUUUUUAGGCUUCAGUGUGGAAUCCCUCACCAGAAAGAUAAAAAGCUGUAGGCCACAGCAUAAAAAGCUAUGGGUCCCUCACUUUUCUUUCAGCUUAACUUUUGUUUGCUUUAUUAUUUGAAUUUCCCAAAAAAGAUUGAAAACUAUUGCUUUCGUACAUGAU
This 2525-nucleotide small RNA is filed under the name Pongo abelii (Sumatran orangutan). RNAcentral's name for it is "retained intron". Lineage: Eukaryota; Metazoa; Chordata; Mammalia; Primates; Hominidae. The record is from RNAcentral.